CAGAAGUGCUGAACCCUUGACGUGCCUUAUCUUAUUUGCUCCUCACAACAAAUCUUAUGAGAUGCAUCACUACCAGAAGUUGUCCAGAAAGAACUGUGACCGUAUGUUUUAAUUAAAUAAUUUUUCAUCCAGUUUUUUUCUUUGCAUAUAAAGAAACAGAAUCCUGACAUCUGAUUGAAUUAUUGGCUCUCCUGAUGGUUGCACGAUGGCUGCAGCAGUUCCAGAUGUCCCAUCGAGACACAAAAAGAUCCCAGAUGGAAGAUGCCAUCUCCUCCUAUGUGCCUCUUUUUAAGAGUGCCAUGCCACUCAAACAGCCAAUGGAAAGGCCCACGUGGCGAGAGCUAAGGCUUCCUGCCAACAGGCAAGUGAGGAAGCCCAGUCAGCUGCCUGCAGUCCUGACCCAUGAAGAGCCUGACUGAAAGUGAAUGAGCAACCCUGAGCUAGGACAACCCAGCAAGGCCCAUCCUGAAUUCCUGCCCACAAAAACUCUGAGACAGUAAAUGUUCGUUGUUUUAAACCACAAAGUUUUGAAGUAAUAGAUUAAUUAGGUAACCAAUUGGGACUGCAGUAUUCCUUCAGGGAACUUGAAUAGUCAUUCUGUAUAUGGAAAUUGUACACAUCUUAAAAUUGCUGGACUAAAGUGAGAAGAGACUGUCUUGAGUCAACUGGAUAAAGUGGAAAAAAAAUUAAUUUGGAAAUCAAUAGAAUUCUGGCCUUGGCUUUGUCACUAAGAAACACUUAUAAGUAAUUUCACUUCUCUUGAAAUUAUGAUCAUUAUCUAUAACAUAAAGGAACUGAGCUAAAUGUUAUCUGAUGCCUCUUUAGGCUCUCAAACUCCAUAGAUUUAUGACAUGCUUGAAAUUCACUUUGUUUCACCCUAAUUCAGAGCUUUGUUUCACUAGCUCUAGAAUUAGAUGCCUUGGGUUUAAAUUGCAAUUCAGUCACUUAUUUAAAUAAUUGUACUUGGAUGAGUGAUGUUGCCAUUUUAAGCCUCAGUUUCCCCAUAGAUUCAUUGAGAAGAUCAAAUAAGAUGAUGCAGAUAAAGCUCUUAGUUUGUGGGGACACUUAGUAAGUGCUUAAUAAAUACAGGCAGUUGUGUUAUCUAUGUUGUAGCAGCACAUUUUGUAAAAUAAAACAAAGUUGAAAUCACA
Molecule: long non-coding RNA, 1151 nt
Filed under: Homo sapiens (human)
Lineage: Eukaryota; Metazoa; Chordata; Mammalia; Primates; Hominidae
Description: non-protein coding LINC02266:3
Source: RNAcentral